RNAcentral lists this ribosomal RNA (253 nucleotides) under uncultured bacterium. Its description in RNAcentral is "partial 16S ribosomal RNA". It matches the Rfam family "Bacterial small subunit ribosomal RNA", at positions 524 to 776 of the family's 1533-position model. The record is from RNAcentral.
UACGUAGGGGGCUAGCGUUGUCCGGAAUCAUUGGGCGUAAAGAGCGUGUAGGCGGCUCGGUAAGUCCGCUCUGAAAGCCCGGGGCUCAACCCCGGGAGGCGGGUGGAUACUGCUGAGCUCGAGUCCGGAAGAGGAGUGUGGAAUUCCUGGUGUAGCGGUGAAAUGCGCAGAUAUCAGGAGGAACACCAAUGGCGAAGGCAGCACUCUGGGACGGUACUGACGCUGAGACGCGAAAGCGUGGGGAGCAAACAGG